UUUCAUAAAUGGUAGCAUUAAUGUGGCUUAGCAUUUUCAUAAAAAAAGGAAAAAAUAAUGUAUAUUUUUAUUGAUUUAUUUUAAAAUUAUUAUUAUUAUAAGGGUUUGGGGUAGAAUAAGCUGAGGGCAUUUAUCUUAUUUUAUCUUAUUUUUAUGAUUAUAUUGGAUUUCUAGUCUUUAAAAAAAGGGGGGGGAAUAUUUAAUUAUUUAUUUGUUUCUGCCCUCUAGUGGCAGCAAACAACCACUGUAGCUAAGCAGUAAAAGGGAAAAAAAUAAAAGAGGAAGAAAAGGAAGAAAAGAGAGAAAAAAAUAGUAGGAAAAAAACCAGUGCUCAAUAUUGACCUCUAGUGGCCAAGAGGCAGCUCUACAACUGGGAGGGGUUAGGGGCAUGGUUAGGGACUGCCAGAAUCCAAAACGGAAGAUAUGACUACAAAACCAGUGCAGAUUCCCUCCUCUCCCCCAUGCUGGGCUGGGCAUGGGGAAGGCAGUCUUUUUACUCACCAGCUGGCACUGAGAAUCUUUUCCUUCAGCAACAGAAAGGAUUAUGGUGGCAUCUUCUUUUUUCUCUCUCAAAGCUGAGAGACAAGUGCUUGCUGCCCAAAGAGGUGUGAAGAAAACUGGAAGAAGACUUAAGAAAUCUUUUUUUCAUUAUUCUGGCUAACUCCUUCCCAAUAGGCAUGGAACAUUGAUUUCUACCAAUAAGGACAAAAUUUCAUUCCAAUGGGCUUUGAGAGGGAGAUUACACAUAGAAAACAUGAAGGGA
RNAcentral lists this long non-coding RNA (763 nucleotides) under Monodelphis domestica (gray short-tailed opossum). Its description in RNAcentral is "lncRNA (ENSMODG00000035569.2)". Lineage: Eukaryota; Metazoa; Chordata; Mammalia; Didelphimorphia; Didelphidae. The record is from RNAcentral.